GUCAACGCUGUAAACGAUGAAUACUAGGUAUUGGAGGAUUUGACCCCUACAGUGCCGUAGCUAACGCGUUAAGUAUUCCGCCUGGGAAGUACGGUCGCAAGACUAAAACUCAAAGGAAUUGACGGGGCCCGCACAAGCGGUGGAUUAUGUGGUUUAAUUCGAAGCAACGCGCAGAACCUUACCUAGGCUUGAAAUCCCACGAACCUGCUUUAAACGGCGGGGUGCUCUUCGGAGAAUGUGGUGACAGGCGCUGCAUGGCUGUCGU
RNAcentral lists this ribosomal RNA (265 nucleotides) under uncultured bacterium. Its description in RNAcentral is "partial 16S ribosomal RNA". It matches the Rfam family "Bacterial small subunit ribosomal RNA", at positions 793 to 1055 of the family's 1533-position model. The record is from RNAcentral.